GUCGCAANAUUAAACUCAAAGGAAUNACGGGGACCCGCACAAGCGGUGAUGAUGUGGAUUAAUUCGAUCCACGCGGAAAACCUUACCUACCCUUGACAUGUACGGAACCUUGUGAGAGGUGGGGGUGCUCGAAAGAGAGCCGUAACACAGGUGCUGCAUGGCCUGUCGUCAGCUCGUGUCGUGAGAUGUUGGGUUAAGUCCCGCAACGAGCGCAACCCUUGUCAUUAGUUGCUACGAAAGGGCACUCUAAUGAGACUGCCGGUGACAAACCGGAGGAAGGUGGGGAUGACGUCAAGUCCUCAUGGCCCUUAUGGGUAGGGCUUCACACGUCAUACAAUGGUACAUACAGAGGGCCGCCAACCCGCGAGGGGGAGCUAAUCCCAGAAAGUGUAUCGUAGUCCGGAUUGUAGUCUGCAACUCGACUACAUGAAGUUGGAAUCGCUAGUAAUCGCGGAUCAGCAUGUCGCGGUGAAUACGUUCCCGGGUCUUGUACACACCGCCCGUCACACCAUGGGAGUGGGUUUUACCAGAAGUAGGUAGCUUAACCGCAAGGAGGGCGCUUACCACGGUAGGAUUCGUGACUGGGGUGAAGUCGUAACAAGGUAGCCGUAAAGACUGGAGAUCU
RNAcentral lists this ribosomal RNA (625 nucleotides) under uncultured bacterium. Its description in RNAcentral is "bacterial SSU rRNA". It matches the Rfam family "Bacterial small subunit ribosomal RNA", at positions 885 to 1533 of the family's 1533-position model. The record is from RNAcentral.